Small nucleolar RNA from Pteropus vampyrus (large flying fox), 140 nucleotides. Lineage: Eukaryota; Metazoa; Chordata; Mammalia; Chiroptera; Pteropodidae. The record is from Ensembl.
UGGCUCGAUUUCCUGGGGGGUGGGCUCAGCCUGCCCUGCCUCCCCUCAGACGAGCCUAAAGUAGAGAGGCCAGGCUUCCUUCCCCAUGGGAGAGGUGGUUAAGAAAGGAGCCUCACCUGGACUGAUCUCACCUCACAUUU